RNAcentral lists this ribosomal RNA (777 nucleotides) under Triticum aestivum (bread wheat). RNAcentral describes it as "partial small subunit ribosomal RNA". Lineage: Eukaryota; Viridiplantae; Streptophyta; Magnoliopsida; Poales; Poaceae. The record is from RNAcentral.
AUGCGACAAUGCAUCGAUGGUUAUGUGGACGACGGGGUCAGGGACAUGCUAGAUGAUGUCAUUGCUGCAGAAACGGCACAUGCAACACCUUCAGAGAAUGAACCGGAGGAGCCGGAGGCAACCGCAAAGGCCUUCUUGGAGGUCUUGGCCUCGUCGAAGAAACCUCUUUAUGCGGGUGCAAAAAUAUCUCAGUUGGAUGCCAUCUCACAAUUGAUUGCAGUCAAGGCUGAGUACGGUUGUAGCCAGAAAUGCUUCGAAGCAUUCUUGGGAGUAUGGGCUAACAGCCUCCCUGAGGGUCAUGAACUGUCGAAAAGCAUGUAUGAUACAAAGAAAAUCAUAAAGGCACUCUCUAUGGAUUAUGAGAAAAUAGAUGUUUGCCCGAAGAAUUGCCUUUUGUUUAGGCAUGAGUAUGCGGAUGACAAGUACUGUAGGCAGUGUGGUUCGUCUCGGUACAUUGAGGUGGUCGGUGAGGAUGGUGAGAAAAGGAAGCUAGCCAUCCCCGUUAAGGUUCUUCGGUAUCUUGAUUUUACAAAAAGACUACAGCGCCUUUUCAUCACGGAGGAGUCUGCCAAAAUGAUGAAGUGGCACAAGGAAGGUAUAACGUACAAUCCAAAAAAAAUCGUACAUGCAUCGGAAGGGGAAGCAUGGAAGUCGUUCGAUGAAGAAUACCCCGAGGAAGCAGCCGAGGGUGGGAAUGUCAGAAUAGCCAUAUCAGGUGAUGGGUUGAAUCCAUAUGGUACGUGUUCAAUCCAUACAGUUGCUGGCCCGUGUUUGUAA